RNAcentral lists this ribosomal RNA (436 nucleotides) under uncultured Saccharofermentans sp. Its description in RNAcentral is "partial 16S ribosomal RNA". It matches the Rfam family "Bacterial small subunit ribosomal RNA", at positions 341 to 792 of the family's 1533-position model. The record is from RNAcentral. Lineage: Bacteria; Bacillati; Bacillota; Clostridia; Eubacteriales; Oscillospiraceae.
ACGGGAGGCAGCAGUGGGGAAUAUUGGGCGAUGGGCGCAAGCCUGACCCAGCAACGCCGCGUGAAGGAUGAAGGUCUUCGGAUUGUAAACUUCUUUAAUCGGGGAAGAAAAAAAUGACCUCCCCGAAGAAUAAGCCACGUCUAACUACGUGCCAGCAGCCGCGGUAAUACGUGGGUGGCAAGCGUUAUCCGGAUUUACUGGGUGUAAAGGGCGUGUAGGCGGCCCUGCAAGUCAGAAGUGAAAUUCCCGGGCUCAACCUGGGCGCUGCUUAUGAAACUGCAGAACUUGAGUACUGGAGGGGAAAGUGGAAUUCCUAGUGUAGCGGUAAAAUGCGCAGAUAUUAGGAGGAACACCGGUGGCGAAGGCGGCUUUCUGGACAGUAACUGACGCUGAGGCGCGAAAGCGUGGGGAGCAAACAGGAUUAGAUACCCUGGUA